RNAcentral lists this ribosomal RNA (598 nucleotides) under Ourococcus multisporus. Its description in RNAcentral is "small subunit ribosomal RNA". It matches the Rfam family "Bacterial small subunit ribosomal RNA", at positions 1033 to 1520 of the family's 1533-position model. Lineage: Eukaryota; Viridiplantae; Chlorophyta; Chlorophyceae; Sphaeropleales; Selenastraceae. The record is from RNAcentral.
CACAGGCGUUGCAUGGCUGUCGUCAGCCCGUGGUGCCAAGCCGUCCAGUUUUCUGGGCACGGGCAUCUCCCCAGUUCAGUAGAAGUUUAUUAAAGAUUUUAAUUAUUUUAAAAAAUUUUUAAUUAAAUUUAAUAAUAACUCUACGAAACAUCUAGUUACUAAUAUUAAAAAAGGAAAAAAUAAAAAAUUUAAAAAAGUAAUUAGAAGGAGGCUGGGAUCACGUCAAGUCUUCAUGGCCCAUAUGGAGUGGGCUACACGUGUGUGACAAGGGUCGUGUCAGCACUUUUUUUACAAAAACAAAAAAAACACGGUCAUAGUACGGAUGGUUGCUUGCAACUCGGCAACCUGAAGCAGGAAUCGCCAGUAAUCGCGGAUUAGCUCGCUGCGGUGAAAAUUAGAAGCUUACCCGGGGCAUUCACCGCCCGUCACGUUCGGAAAGUUUUGUGCAUUGGAAAUUUUAAAAAGUUUUUAGAGCUUUUUUUAUACCAAAAAAGUUUUUUCUUUUUUUUAAAAAAGCCUAAUAAAUUUUUAAAAUGAAAGUGUGGAUCGCAAUCGGAAUGAAGUCGUAACAAGGUUGCUGUACGGGAACGUGCAGCAG